RNAcentral lists this ribosomal RNA (143 nucleotides) under uncultured bacterium. RNAcentral describes it as "partial 16S ribosomal RNA". It matches the Rfam family "Bacterial small subunit ribosomal RNA", at positions 355 to 493 of the family's 1533-position model. The record is from RNAcentral.
UGAGGAAUAUUGGUCAAUGGGCGGAGAGCCUGAACCAGCCAAGUCGCGUGAGGGAAGACGGUCCUAUGGAUUGUAAACCUCUUUUGUCGGGGAGCAAGGCCACUCACGAGUGAGUGGAAGGAGAGUACCCGAAGAAAAAGCAU